RNAcentral lists this unclassified non-coding RNA (337 nucleotides) under soil metagenome. RNAcentral describes it as "partial contains 5.8S ribosomal RNA, internal transcribed spacer 2, and large subunit ribosomal RNA". The stretch from base 2 to 121 matches the Rfam family "5.8S ribosomal RNA", at positions 35 to 154 of the family's 154-position model. The record is from RNAcentral.
AGAUGAAGAACGCAGUGAAAUGCGAUAAGUAAUGUGAAUUGCAGAAUUCAGUGAAUCAUCGAAUCUUUGAACGCACAUUGCACCCGCCAGUAUUCUGGCGGGCAUGCCUGUUCGAGCGUCAUUUCAACCAUCAAGCCCCAGGCUUGUGUUGGGGACCUGCGGCUGCCGCAGGCCCUGAAAACCAGUGGCGGGCUCGCUGUCACACCGGGCGUAGUAGAUUUUAUCUCGCUCAGGGCGUGCUGCGGGUUCCGGCCGUUAAAAAGCCUUUUUUACCCAAGGUUGACCUCGGAUCAGGUAGGAAGACCCGCUGAACUUAAGCAUAUCAAUAAGCGGAGGA